Molecule: ribosomal RNA, 497 nt
Filed under: uncultured bacterium
Lineage: Bacteria
Description: partial 16S ribosomal RNA
Rfam family: Bacterial small subunit ribosomal RNA
Source: RNAcentral
GAUGAACGCUGGCGGCGUGCCUAAUACAUGCAAGUCGAGCGAACGGACGAGAAGCUUGCUUCUCUGAUGUUAGCGGCGGACGGGUGAGUAACACGUGGAUAACCUACCUAUAAGACUGGGAUAACUUCGGGAAACCGGAGCUAAUACCGGAUAAUAUUUUGAACCGCAUGGUUCAAAAGUGAAAGACGGUCUUGCUGUCACUUAUAGAUGGAUCCGCGCUGCAUUAGCUAGUUGGUAAGGUAACGGCUUACCAAGGCAACGAUGCAUAGCCGACCUGAGAGGGUGAACGGCUACACUGGAACAGAGACACGGUCCCGACACCUACGGUAGUCAGCAGUAGUGAAUCUGCCGGAAUGGGCGAAAGCCUAACGGAGCAACGCCGCGUGAGUGAUGAAGGUCUUCGGUUCGUGAAACUCUGUUAUUAGGGGAGAACAUAUGUGUUAGUAACUGUGCACAUCUUGACGGUACCUAAUCAGAAAGCCACGGCUAACAUCGUG